GCGUAGAUAUAUGGAGGAACACCAGCCGCGACGGUGGCUCUCUGGUCCGUAACUGACGCUGAGGCUCGAAAGCGUGGGGAGCAAACAGGCUUAGAUACCAUGGUAGUCCACGCCGUAAACGAUGAGUGCUAAGUGUUGGAGGGUUUCCGCCCUUCAGUGCUGCAGCUAACGCAUUAAGCACUCCGCCUGGGGAGUACGACCGCAAGGUUGAAACUCAAAGGAAUUGACGGGGGCCCGCACAAGCGGUGGAGCAUGUGGUUUAAUUCGAAGCAACGCGAAGAACCUUACCAGGUCUUGACAUCCUUUGACCACUCUAGAGAUAGAGCUUCCCCUUCGGGGGCAAAGUGACAGGUGGUGCAUGGUUGUCGUCAGCUCGUGUCGUGAGAUGUUGGGUUAAGUCCCGCAACGAGCGCAACCCUUAUUGUUAGUUGCCAUCAUUCAGUUGGGCACUCUAGCAAGACUGCCGGUGACAAACCGGAGGAAGGUGGGGAUGACGUCAAAUCAUCAUGCCCCUUAUGACCUGGGCUACACACGUGCUACAAUGGGAAGUACAACGAGUUGCGAAGUCGCGAGGCUAAGCUAAUCUCUUAAAGCUUCUCUCAGUUCGGAUUGCAGGCUGCAACUCGCCUGCAUGAAGCCGGAAUCGCUAGUAAUCGCGGAUCAGCACGCCGCGGUGAAUACGUUCCCGGGCCUUGUACACACCGCCCGUCACACCACGAGAGUUUGUAACACCCGAAGUCGGUGAGGUAACCUUUUUGGAGCCAGCCGCCGUAA
RNAcentral lists this ribosomal RNA (774 nucleotides) under Enterococcus faecium. RNAcentral describes it as "bacterial SSU rRNA". It matches the Rfam family "Bacterial small subunit ribosomal RNA", at positions 688 to 1461 of the family's 1533-position model. The record is from RNAcentral. Lineage: Bacteria; Bacillati; Bacillota; Bacilli; Lactobacillales; Enterococcaceae.